Molecule: ribosomal RNA, 253 nt
Filed under: uncultured bacterium
Lineage: Bacteria
Description: partial 16S ribosomal RNA
Rfam family: Bacterial small subunit ribosomal RNA
Source: RNAcentral
UACGGAGGGAGCUAGCGUUGUUCGGAAUUACUGGGCGUAAAGCGCACGUAGGCGGCUUUGUAAGUCAGGGGUGAAAUCCUGGAGCUCAACUCCAGAACUGCCUUUGAUACUGAGGAUCUUGAGUUCGGGAGAGGUGAGUGGAACUGCGAGUGUAGAGGUGAAAUUCGUAGAUAUCGGGAGGAACACCAGAGGCGAAGGCGGCGACCUGGACGGACACUGACGCUGAGACGCGAAAGCGUGGGGAGCAAACAGG